UCUUCCGCAAUGGACGGAAGUCUGACGGAGCGACGCCGCUUGGAGGAGGAAGCCCUUCGGGGUGUAAACUCCUGAACUGGGGACGAAAGCCCCGUGUAGGGGGAUGACGGUACCCAGGUAAUAGCGCCGGCCAACUCCGUGCCAGCAGCCGCGGUAAUACGGAGGGCGUGAGCGUUACCCCGAUUUACUGGGCGUAAAGGGCGUGUAGGCGGCCUGGGGCGUCCCAUGUGAAAGGCCACGGCUCAACCGUGGAGGAGCGUGGGAUACGCUCAGGCUAGAGGGUGGGAGAGGGUGGUGGAAUUCCCGGAGUAGCGGUGAAAUGCGCAGAUACCGGGAGGAACGCCGAUGGCGAAGGCAGCCACCUGGUCCACUCUACGCUAGCGCGAAG
Molecule: ribosomal RNA, 388 nt
Filed under: uncultured bacterium
Lineage: Bacteria
Description: bacterial SSU rRNA
Rfam family: Bacterial small subunit ribosomal RNA
Source: RNAcentral